Molecule: long non-coding RNA, 1911 nt
Organism: Sarcophilus harrisii (Tasmanian devil)
Lineage: Eukaryota; Metazoa; Chordata; Mammalia; Dasyuromorphia; Dasyuridae
Source: Ensembl
CUAAAAGAUAAGUGGAAGCUGGGUGGCCGGGGGCAAAUAUAAAGAGUUUCUUUGUAUAUUUCAGAGGUUGACACUUGCAGCAGGAAUUCUAGAGAGAAGGUCUCUACUGGAAAUCUAGAGAAAUGACCUCCAGGACAUCUUUGGAUAGUGGAAAGACCCUUGGACUUGGAUUACAGCCUGAUAGCGGGAGUAUGGGACGUUCAGGAACGACUAGCACUUCCUUGCCCAGCCUUUUCCAGAGCUGCUUGUCCAUCUUUGUUUCACCUCUCCCCUGUGACUCCAAGAAGCUGUGGCAUGGAGCUGCCCUUGUGGAGGAGGAUAAAAGGCAGAUGAGAAUCAUUUCUUCCAAAAGUCACGAAAGUGUUGGAUGCUGGUGCUUUGGAGCACUUAGAGAUUGGUCAGACAUAGGAAAUGGCAAGAUCAUCCGCUGCAUCUCAAGCUAUUACCGGUCGCUUGACUUUUGUCUUGCAAUUGUCUUCAAUGAUUCUGGAAGUUGCACUUUGGGAAACUCUGCUUCACUUAAAUCUAAUUUAUAUACAAGUCAAGACAUCACCCCCAGAUGCCACUGUUGCUUUUCAAAAGGGAAGGAUGAACAACAAUAAUAAAAAGGGAAACUAACACAGAUAAUUGAAACUGACAAAUGCAAAUAAGAGUGCUAGAAGUACCUGGAGAAUUUUGAGGAGAGCGAAAUCACUUUCAGACUAUCAUUGGAAAGUAAUGAGUGCCAGUAACAGCUGUUUUCUGCAGCUUGAAAAAAAAAAAGUUAAGACUUGUUAUGGGCUGUAUUGUGAAAGGCAAUUUGGGGUUGAAUCUUUUUUUAAUCUGACUUGGAGAAUAAUGAUAGAUAGGCUUCAACAUCCAAUAUGAAAUUAGGGAAAUUCUUUAUCACUUUGUCCUAUUUUUCUGUAAGCACUUGAGGCAGGUAGGUGGUAUAGUGCAUAGAAUACAAGAUAUAGAGUCAGGAAAACCUGAGUUUGGAGCCUACCUCAAAUACUUAAGUUGUCUGACACUGAAACUCACUUGCCUUGUCUGUAAAAUAGCAUCUACUUCCCAAGGUGGUUGUGAGGAUAAAAUGAGAUAAAUUAUAUGAAAUAGUUUGCAAACCUUAAAGCAUUACAUAAAUUCUAUCUAUUAUCAUUAUCUCUCUGAAAGUUAAAACUUCUACUUGUGUUUCUAAUUUUCUGUUUCUAUAUAUGUUUUUAUGUGUCUUUUACCUCUUACGUUGUCGCCAAGUCUUUGUGACUAUUUUUGUCUUUUUUUUUUUUUUGGUAAAGAUACUGGAGUUAUUAACCAUUUUCUUCUUCAGCUCAUUUUACAGAUUUUACUGAGGCAAGCAGGAUGAAAUGAUUUGCUUAGGUUCACAUAGCUCUUAAGUUUCUGAAGCCAGAUUUAAACUAAGAAAGUGAACCAUUGGACAGUGCAGAGAACUUCAUUGGCCAAAACAUUGUUUUCCAGUUCUUCAAUAGCUAUGACUGGAGCAUCUGCAGAGAUACAUGACAAGUUUCAUCUCUACAAGUAUUGCUUUCCUAGACAAUGGCCAUGGCAGUCCAGUUGUGAGCAGGGUUGAUUGUGGAGCUUGGGCAGCUGUCUGACAAAGUGGAUUGAGUACCAGCAUUGAAAUCAGGAAGACUCAUUUUCCUGGGUUCAAAUCUGAUCUCAGAUAGUUACUAGUUGUAUGACCCUGAGCAAGCCACUUAACUUCCUUUGCCUCAGUACUUCAUCUAUAAAAUGAGUUGGAGAAGGAAAUGGCAAAGCAUUCCAGUAUCUUUGCCAAGAAAAUCCCAGUUGUGAUCAUGAAGACUCAGACAUGAAUGAAAUAACUGAACAACAACAAAAACAGAGUCUCAGCUUUGGGUUAUUCUCACAAUCCACUGUUAUUGCUCCUAUGCACAUGCUAUUAAAUAAAUCUGG